RNAcentral lists this ribosomal RNA (253 nucleotides) under uncultured bacterium. RNAcentral describes it as "partial 16S ribosomal RNA". It matches the Rfam family "Bacterial small subunit ribosomal RNA", at positions 524 to 776 of the family's 1533-position model. The record is from RNAcentral.
UACGGGGGGGGCAAGCGUUGUUCGGAAUUACUGGGCGUAAAGGGCUUGUAGGUGGCCAACUAAGUCAGACGUGAAAUCCCACGGCUUAACCGAGGAACUGCGUCUGAUACUGGAUGGCUUGAGUUCGGGAGAGGGAUGCGGAAUUCCAGGUGUAGCGGUGAAAUGCGUAGAUAUCUGGAGGAACACCGGUGGCGAAGGCGGCAUCCUGGACCGACACUGACGCUGAGGAGCGAAAGCCAGGGGAGCAAACGGG